This 253-nucleotide ribosomal RNA is filed under the name uncultured bacterium. RNAcentral's name for it is "partial 16S ribosomal RNA". It matches the Rfam family "Bacterial small subunit ribosomal RNA", at positions 524 to 776 of the family's 1533-position model. The record is from RNAcentral.
UACGAAGGGGGCUAGCGUUGCUCGGAAUCACUGGGCGUAAAGCGUGCGUAGACGGUUACAUAAGUCGGGUGUGAAAGCCCCGGGCUCAACCUGGGAAUUGCAUUCGAGACUGCGUAGCUAGGGUGCGGAAGAGGGAAGCGGAAUUCCCGGUGUAGCGGUGAAAUGCGUAGAUAUCGGAAGGAACACCAGUGGCGAAAGCGGCUUCCUGGUCCAGCACCGACGUUCAGGCACGAAAGCGUGGGGAGCAAACAGG